Dama dama (fallow deer) is the source of this 545-nucleotide long non-coding RNA. RefSeq lists it as uncharacterized. The record is from RefSeq and is a predicted model, not a curated record. NCBI's taxonomy places the organism in Eukaryota, Metazoa, Chordata, Mammalia, Artiodactyla, Cervidae. The transcript has 3 exons.
UUUCUUGCCGAAUACCUCGAUCGUUGCCUGGCCGGUCCAUCUAGGGUCGGGCCGCUCCCUCUUGUACGCCCGGACACUCCACCUAGCUCCGGCCCACCAGCUCUGCUUUCCACCCGAGCCUGCUCACCGCCGCCCUAGCUUAGUCUCCAAGCCAAUGCUGAUCUCGCGGGCCUCCUCCUUGACCGUCCCACCCAGCUCGCGAGGGUGUCUGCUCCGUCCCUCACUGAGCUCAUGCUGUUUCCUCUGCCUGAAGCACGUUUCUUCGUGCUCACCCCAAGGGUAAUCUUUCCGAUCCAGGGAUUGAACCCCAGUUUCCUGAAUUGAAGGCAGAUUCUGUACCAUUUGAGCCACCAGGGGGACAGUGCCAAUAUGUCGAGAUUUUUCAGCAAAUGCAGGGAACUAAGAGAUCCAGCUGAGGUAACACUCUCUCUGAAAAGCCUCUUCUGGGCUCCAGCUGCCCCUGGGGAUUUCCUUCCUCAUAAAGAAUACUGCUUCACCCUGUGGUAAUUGCCUUUUUAGCUGCCUCUCUUCUCAGCUACACUGUG